This 498-nucleotide ribosomal RNA is filed under the name uncultured bacterium. Its description in RNAcentral is "partial 16S ribosomal RNA". It matches the Rfam family "Bacterial small subunit ribosomal RNA", at positions 30 to 523 of the family's 1533-position model. The record is from RNAcentral.
AUUGAACGCUGGCGGCAUGCCUUACACAUGCAAGUCGAACGGUAACGGGCCUUCGGGUGCCGACGAGUGGCGAACGGGUGAGUAAUACAUCGGAACGUGCCCGAUCGUGGGGGAUAACGAGGCGAAAGCUUUGCUAAUACCGCAUACGAUCUACGGAUGAAAGCAGGGGACCGCAAGGCCUUGCGCGGACGGAGCGGCCGAUGGCAGAUUAGGUAGUUGGUGGGAUAAAAGCUUACCAAGCCGACGAUCUGUAGCUGGUCUGAGAGGAUGAUCAGCCACACUGGGACUGAGACACGGCCCAGACUCCUACGGGAGGCAGCAGUGGGGAAUUUUGGACAAUGGGCGCAAGCCUGAUCCAGCCAUGCCGCGUGCAGGAUGAAGGCCUUCGGGUUGUAAACUGCUUUUGUACGGAACGAAAAGCCUUCUUCUAAUACAGGAGGGUCAUGACGGUACCGUAAGAAUAAGCACCGGCUAACUACGUGCCAGCAGCAGCCGCCG